GAUGAACGCUGGCGGCGUGCUUAACACAUGCAAGUCGAACGAGAAGUGGAGACGGAAACCUUCGGGCGGAAGACUUUAUUUCGAGUGGCGGACGGGUGAGUAACGCGUGGGUAACCUGCCUCAUACAGGGGGAUAACAGUUGGAAACGACUGUUAAUACCGCAUAAGACCACAGCACCGCAUGGUGCGGGGGUAAAAACUCCGGUGGUAUGAGAUGGACCCGCGUUCGAUUAGCCAGUUGGCGGGGUAACGGCCCACCAAAGCGACGAUCGAUAGCCGAUCUGAGAGGAUGACCGGCCACAUUGGGACUGAGACACGGCCCAAAUUCCUACGGGAGGCAGCAGUGGGGAAUAUUGCACAAUGGGGGAAACCCUGAUGCAGCGACGCCGCGUGAGUGAAGAAGUAUUUCGGUAUGUAAAGCUCUAUCAGCAGGGAAGAAAAUGACGGUACCUGAGUAAGAAGCCCCGGCUAACUACGUG
This 478-nucleotide ribosomal RNA is filed under the name uncultured bacterium. RNAcentral's name for it is "partial 16S ribosomal RNA". It matches the Rfam family "Bacterial small subunit ribosomal RNA", at positions 28 to 507 of the family's 1533-position model. The record is from RNAcentral.